RNAcentral lists this ribosomal RNA (496 nucleotides) under uncultured bacterium. RNAcentral's name for it is "partial 16S ribosomal RNA". It matches the Rfam family "Bacterial small subunit ribosomal RNA", at positions 28 to 507 of the family's 1533-position model. The record is from RNAcentral.
GAUGAACGCUGGCGGCGUGCCUAAUACAUGCAAGUCGAGCGAUGAAGCUUGGAGCUUGCACCAAUUUGGAGAGCAGCGGACGGGUGAGUAACGCGUGGGUAAUCUGCCUUUGAGCGGGGGACAACAUCGGGAAACGAAUGCUAAUACCGCAUAAUAACUUGAAACAUAAGGUUCAAGAUUGAAAGAUGCAAUUGCAUCAUUCAAUAAUGAGUUCCGGUUUUAUUAGCUGGUUGGGAAGGUAAAGGCCAACCAAGGGAAGGAUCCAUAGCCGCCCUGAGUGGUGGUCCGCCACAUUGGGACUGGGACAACGGUCCAGACUCCUCCGGGAGGAACAAUAGGGGAACUUCGGCCAUGGGGGGAAAGCUGGACGAAGAAAGCCGCGGGGGGGGAUGAAGGUUUCGGGUUGGUAAAAUCCGUUUGUUGGGAAGAAAGAUAGGGAGAGUGAAAAGCUCAUAAAGUGACGGUAACUAACCAGAAAGCAACGGCUAACUACGUG